ACUCCUACGGGAGGCAGCAGUGGGGAAUAUUGCACAAUGGGGGAAACCCUGAUGCAGCCAUGCCGCGUGUGUGAAGAAGGCCUUCGGGUUGUAAAGCACUUUCAGUAGGGAGGAAGGUAGUGUAGUUAACACCUGCACUAUUUGACGUUACCUACAGAAGAAAGCACCGUCUAACUCCGUGCCAGCAGCCGCGGUAAUACGAGGGUGCGAGCGUUAAUCGGAAUUACUGGGCGUAAAGCGCAUGCAGGCGGCCUGUUAAGUCAGAUGUGAAAGCC
RNAcentral lists this ribosomal RNA (275 nucleotides) under uncultured bacterium. RNAcentral describes it as "partial 16S ribosomal RNA". It matches the Rfam family "Bacterial small subunit ribosomal RNA", at positions 335 to 602 of the family's 1533-position model. The record is from RNAcentral.